UGGGGAAUAUUGGACAAUGGGGGCAACCCUGAUCCAGCCAUGCCGCGUGAGUGAUGAAGGCCUUCGGGUUGUAAAGCUCUUUUGGCGGGGACGAUGAUGACGGUACCCGCAGAAUAAGCCCCGGCUAACUUCGUGCCAGCAGCCGCGGUAAGACGAAGGGGGCUAGCGUUGUUCGGAAUUACUGGGCGUAAAGCGAGUGUAGGCGGUUGCCGUAGUCAGGUGUGAAAGCCUUGAGCUCAACUCAAGAAAUGCACUUGAUACUGGGUGACUAGAGGACCGGAGAGGAUAGUGGAAUUCCCAGUGUAGUGGUGAAAUACGUAGAGAUUGGGAAGAACACCAGUGGCGAAGGCGGCUAUCUGGACGGUUACUGACGCUAAGACUCGAAAGCGUGGGGAGCAAACAGGAUUAGAUACCCUGGGUAGUCCACGCCGUAAACGAUGGGUGCUAGACGUUGGCGAGCUUGCUCGUCAGUGUCGCAGCUAACGCGUUAAGCACCCCGCCUGGGGAGUACGGCCGCAAGGUUGAAACUUAAAUGAAUUGACGGGGUCAUAGCUG
RNAcentral lists this ribosomal RNA (555 nucleotides) under uncultured bacterium. RNAcentral describes it as "partial 16S ribosomal RNA". It matches the Rfam family "Bacterial small subunit ribosomal RNA", at positions 355 to 932 of the family's 1533-position model. The record is from RNAcentral.